GUAACUGCAGACACACACACAAAAAAAACACAAGGUAUGGCAUGACCUGAAGGGAUUCAGCUAGAUUCAAUGAUGUGGUGCCGAUGGACGACAUUGGGACACCAGUGAGAGAAAGAGCAGCAGCGUCUUAUGGACACGUGCUUGUCAAUGAGAAAUGGAGGGGGUCUGCAAUAGCUCAGGGGUUUCAGGGUUAACAGCGUAGCUGUCUUGCACAUUAGUCGGACCUGCAUCCUAAAUGUUUAACAUGGUGAUUGGAAACAACUACAAGAGAAAACUUGCUCGAAUUGGAAAUGCUACCAGCCUUCGUGGGAUCGUACUCGUGGAAAAGACCAGGAUCAGCGAACAGUAUUUUCAGUCUGUCCAGAAAUUUGUGGUGUUGGAAUUAGGAAUGACGUUACUCCCUGUUGCCGGCCAGACUGAAGCCAGCUAGUUCAUGAAGAGAGUAAAGAACAUGGUCAUAACCCCUUCGCUCUAAUUUGGCCGAGCCGGCUGUCUUUGCCAUGGUUCAGCAGAUCCCUGGGGUUGGGAAAGUAAAAGCCUUGGCCCUGCUACAGCAGUUUCCCAGCAUUCACCAGCUGAGCAACGCCACUACUGAAGAACUUGAGGUUGCCGUGGGACGGACAAUAGCACAACAAAUUAGAACUUUCUUCAUACAGACUUAACCAGCCUGCAAGAAUAAUAUGAGAUUUGCAUUUUCCAGAACACAGUUUCACCUCACCGAACUGACGUAUGAUACUACUCUACAAAGAAAUAGUUAUAAAAUAAGUAAAACAUUUUGAUGAGAAGUGGCUUUGGCUGUGUCUUUUUGAUUAAAAUUAAGCUUGCCCUCACAAUUGAAGUAGCUUAUUAUCUUACUACUAAUCCUGAAAGCUUGAUUAUUGCUGACAUUGAAAGGAAUUUGGUUGUAGUAUUUGCUGAACUGGUUUAAAAGUAUUGUGUGGGCCUUUCAUAGAUCCUUUUUAAAUAUCAGCUUGUAUGAACUUCAAAGACUGCAUUGCCCGUCUCUCCACUGCUUUGCUGGAUAAUGAGUUGUGCAGAUUGGCGAUGACAUCAUUAUGUCUGUUUCUAAAACCUUUUGUAAGCUGACCACAAGACUGAAUUUAACAUAAAUGGGAUCUGAAAGUAAUUUAA
Long non-coding RNA from Acipenser ruthenus (sterlet), 1131 nucleotides. RefSeq lists it as uncharacterized. Lineage: Eukaryota; Metazoa; Chordata; Actinopteri; Acipenseriformes; Acipenseridae. The transcript has 6 exons. The record is from RefSeq and is a predicted model, not a curated record.